CCAUUGUGCAUUUGGAGCCAAAUCAAUGAAACCCGAAUAAUUUUUUUUGACAAAUGUAAAUAUAAAACAAUGCACUUGUUCUGAUGUAUUCAUAUAUAUUUGAGCUCUCUGACAGUAGAUGGCAGCAGUGAGCCGAGUUUGAAGUUCACCCACACAAGGCACCAAAUAUUGUGCAUAUCUGUUACCUGAGCCAAUGUGCAGCUACAGAGAUGGUAUGACAGGGCACGUACGGAAAGGAUUCGUGUGAGGAAAUAAACUAUUUAUCUGCAGCCACAUACUUUAAGAGACACAAUUUUUGCACGAAGCGCUUUUGCAGGUGCUUGACCAUGGGUCGGAGUGUCCACCAUAGAGUAAGGCUAUUCACUCUGCUUUGUGCUGGUUCAUUGGCUGGUCAUCGGUUUUUGAAGUGAGGCAUUACUAACGGUAAAAUGCAGUGGAACCUGAGUGUGGUUUUACUCAUGUGGAUAAUGAUAAUCAUUGCCCAAGUGGAAAAAGUACAUCAAAGGUGGGAUUUGCAGAGGACACACAAAAUUAAAUGAGUGACAGUGGCUAUAUGUAUUAAAACAAAUAAUGGUUUGAUAGAAGCAGUUGCCUAGUCUCAAGAAGUUUGAGAGUCAGGCGCGGGUGGGGGUGCGGCGCGCACAGAAGCGCUGAGAAAGAUAAGCAGAGGAAAGCGCGUUUGUCGUGAGAGCCAAAAUGGCAGUUCCCUGAUCGCACCGCAGUGCAAGAUGCACUGCUCAGCUGUCACUACUCUCCCCGAUGAUUCACGUCUCCGGAGGCUUUGAGCGCGAUCGUUUAAUGGAUUUUCGAUGGCGAAAUUGGACAGGGAAAUUGGCUAGCGCGGAACAUCUGGCGAGAGGGAUAUAAAACCCAUAUGUUCGAACUUAAUGUGGCAGGUUCACAUGAGUCAAAUUAGCGUGACAGCGAAAACGCCAGAUCGAUGCUAACUUUUAACCAGUUUUUUUCUUCUUGAAUUGAAGGCUCUGCAAGAUGUAAAUGCAAGAAUCCUAGUGAUUUUGAGGCAAGUAGGCUAUUUUUUUUACUCUGAAGUGGCAUAAUUCAGCUGAAAAUGAUGCGUACCCAAAACGUUUUUCUAUCAUUCCGUUUCUCAGCCUAUUUGCUCACACAGUAGGUAAACUUUGCAACGCAGCCAAUAAAGAUUAAACAGCACCUGUCACUAAAGAUACGGUUGAAAUAUUGAGAUCCUGCUCUAUUUCUUCAUAAGGAUUUAUCUGUGUGUGCGUUUCACAUUGGGAACGGAAAUCUUCGAGUGUGUCAGUGCAUUAUCCGGUGAUGUGAAAGCCGCAGUAAAGCCAGUAUCUGCCGUUUGGCUAAUAGAAAGGACGCAGAUACAUUCAGCAUGGCCUGGCAUAGGUCCCAUCCCAACGUUUUGAAUAAUUAAGAGGAUCUGACAAAAGUUGGAAAAAUUAUUUGGACUUAUUCGGAUAUUUUUCACAAAUAUUUUGAUGACUUGAAAUCCUCUGAAUGUUGUUUUUUCGUUGCGGUAAUUUGUGCGUGGAAAAUCGGCUAAGUCAUGAAUCACAUAUAAUUGGAUCCACUCGGAUUUCUCGAGGUUAAUCAAACCGUCACGGUCCUCAAGUUAAGGAUGAGGCGCGUGUUGCACGCUUUGCAGCUGGAGACUCCCGGAAGGAAGAGUAUCAUUUUGACAGCGCGUGUCCAGUGAGAGAAAAGCGCCUACCGGAGACACUCGAGACGAACUUAAAUGAUUUUACUUUUAUCUUGAAUACUGGUGAUUACAAAACACAGAAAACUGAGAGAUCAGUCGGCAUAUAUGCUUACCAUUUAGGGACUGCAUGGAUAAGGAAGACAAGGAUCAAUCCCCUACACUGCGCUUUUGAGUUGUGCUGAAGUUCACCAUGGGGUGAGGAGGAGAAGAACGUGGUCAGUUUUAGGAGAGGGGUGAGUGACCGAGAACAUGGAUUGUUUGUUACUUCAAUUUACUUCAAUUUUUUGCGAUUUUUCACAGCUGGUUUCUCCCCUAACCAUUUGAUUUCCGUGGUCUGCUGAAUGGAUGCGUUUUUUAACCUGUGGUUUCAUUUGUUAUUUUUCUCCAGUUGAUGUUGAAUUACACUUGAUUUAUCUUAUAUUGGUACCACCCAGUGCACUGCAAAUGUCAACAUAAGGCAGGUAACAUUUUAUAUAGGGUGUUUGGCGCGCUUUCUGAUUUUUUUUCUUAUUCUUGUUCACUUAACUCUGGACUUCCAUCUGAUUGAUGGUGCAGACUCUAUUGCAUCAGAUGCCGUCUUGUAAAAUGGAGGAACAUGAAGGAUUGCUCUGAAAACACCCACGAUUUUGCCCGAUUGAGCCACUGCCGUACAUUUUUCAUCACACACUUGUGUGUCAAGGUGACUAGCGUGCAGGUUUCAGGGCUACUGGAUAUCUAUAAAGGGUCCAUUAAGCUCAACUAGUAUGCAAGAAGAGGCAUUUUACCCUACUUCCUUAUUCUCACUGCCAAUCCAUUAUUCUGCCUUCUAGGGGGAUAUAUUUUUAGAUUAUUUAAAAAAAAUUCACUGGGUAGAUAUAGGAUGCACCAUGUUGUUCAUAGUUCCACUGCAAGCAGAACCCUGAAUGUUACCCGGUAACAGGUUUUGAGACUGACACAAAAUUAGGCCUACUUACCAACUGACUGAGUCUCGUCAAACAGGUGCCAGCUCCACAUUCACUAUAAUCUGAAGAGGGUCUAACUGCUAACUCUAAAGUGUGACUUUAUAUUUCAAGUCAGAGCAGAGCUAACAGUACUGGGGGAGAACAGCAUUACACUCACAUUCUCCCACGUUCAACUGUUCUUUAGACCCUCUCCAUAUCCCCCCCCACUGGUCUGCUCAAGUGGGGGGGGGGCUUAACCCCCCAGGGUGGUCACCAAGGCUGAUCCCCUACCAACGGGGGUCGUGACCAUGGAAACGAGCCCGGAGAGUCCGAAUCGUGCGGUGGAGUACCUGCUGGAGCUGAACAACAUCAUCGAGAGCCAGGCCAAGCUCCUGGAGAGCCAGCGCCGCCGCAUCGAGGAGCUCGAGACCCAGCUGGACCGGGUCAACCAGGAGAACACGGGCCUGCGCUUGGACCAACACAACUCCUGUCCCGAGCCAACGCCGGUCCCCAUCCAGAACCACACCGACCAGAGCCCAACCCAGCCCUCGUCCCUGCCCCUCAACCCCUCCUCGGGCACGGGCACUGGUGCUGGCCCUCUCCACAACAGCAACAAUGGCACCGGCAGCACUGCCACCAGCCCGUCCUCCUCAACGGCGCCACCUGCUGGGCUGAACCGCGAGCGGCGGAACCACACGCGUCUGACCCGUGGGCUCUCAUGCGGGGCGGCGCCGGUCGAAAGGGAGCGGACUGGACGACUGGAACGGAUCGACAGCAGCGGAACCAACACGACCCCCGCGCCACGCAGACAGCUACACUCUUACUCAAGCUGUUCUACUCUCACCAAUUCCACCACCAACUCCUUCUUCAGUUCCAGUCUGACAGUUGUUAGCCAUUCCAGCCACCAUCAGUUUUGCUGUCCCUCCAGGCUGCGCAAGCCCAAGCCGUCUAGCACCCUCCCUAAGGCCAAGGAACAGGCCAGAGAAGAGGAGGCGACUGACUCAUCUCCUCAUCAAUUCUGUUGCCCUGCCUCAAAUUGCAGUAGCCCCUCCUCUAGGUAACCUGUGAGUUGAUUGGUCGGUUGUAACUGUCAAUCAACAAACAUGAGUGGCUGAUCACUGAGAUGACCGGUGCAGUGAUAGGUCUGGGUAAAAGGCUUGGGAAGCCAGCUGUCAACAGGAAGGACAAAGCAUAAACACUGCCCCUGACUCCUUCACCAAACCACAGGGAGAAAGCAAGUUUUGCUCAACAUGCGUUGUGUUUGGUUGAAGACUUAUUGGGCCGUAGUGCCAUCAGCCAUCAGACUGACAGAAGGGAAAAGCCUUGACCAGGACACUCAAAGGAAACUCUUAAACGAUCAUUUAUUUACGAUCAAAUAUUGUAUGUCGGAUCUGUUUACCGUGAUGUUUUCACUGCAUGCCUGUUAAAGUAGCCACCAUGACAAGCACAUGAAUCUGUGUCUGAAAAUGUUACACUUUUUUAACGGGGUAAACACUGCACGCUGGUGGGUAUACACACACACACACACACACACACACACACACAGACACACAGACACACACACACACACACACACACACACACACACACACACACACACACACAGCACAGGUGGCUUGACACUUUCACUGUUCAAUGUGUGUUUUUGCCAGUGAUGUGGUGUCACAUACAUCAACAACAGUCUGCUGAGAGACAAAAAAUAAUCAACAGUGUAAUCAAACACUUUACAUGAGUCAUUUGGUUUUUGUGUGUGCGUGCAAGCGCGCGUGUGUGUGUGUUAGUAGUUGUUAGUUGUUGUAAGUUAGUAGUUAUUCAUGAUUGCAUAAUGGAUAGAAUCAGAUUCACUGUUUGGUGUAUGUAUUUAUUUACACUUUCAUGUGUAUGAGUCUCACGUACUGGAUCUUCGAAAAGGAUUCUCUAGAAAAAUGAAAACUUUUUCUUGCUCACUCUCUCUCUCUCUGUCUCUCUCUUUCUCUUUCUCUUUCUAUUUCUCUUUCUCUCUCUCUCUCUCUCUCCACCUAUCUCUUUGAAGCACAGAUACUUAAGUCAGAGAUAUACUGUGAUAGAAUGCUAUAAGGAAAUGAAAAAAAAAAAAUGCUUGAUUUUAAUUUAAUGCUUGAUUUGGCAGUAAUGAAUAACUGAAGGGAAUUUGACAUCUUCCUUUUAACAUACUGUAAUUAAUCUUAAAUUGCCAUUUUUUUGAGGAACGUUUUGUGGAAACAAAUGCUCUAUGCUGAUUUCCUGAAUAAUACAACAUUGUUUCACGAGGCUAGUGUCCGUUUGUUUUAUGCUGUCAACGUGUCUUCAUCAGUCCAGUGUUUCGCAUUUUAGGAAUAUAACUAUAAAACUAUAACUGGUGUUGAUUAAGUACUGAUGGUAUUUUCUUUCGUUUUCUGUAAAACUAUGGACAUGUAAACUCUCACCUUAUAUGAACUUCACAACUCUGAACAUUUGUAUUUCCCGCUUGUUUCCACUAGGGGGCUAAGACCCAACUACACAAAAUGAAACUGAGGACAAAAACACAAACACACACACACACACACACACAAAUACACACAGACACACACACAUAUAUAUAUAUAUACACACACACACACAUAUAUAUAUUUAUAUAUUGUUUGUGUGUGUGUGUGUGUAUGUAUACAUACACUCACAUGUAUUCUCUUCAACUCCAGAGGGAAGUAAACAUAAUUGGAAUUGUACUAAACCCACGUGACAUUAUAAGAGAACUCCACUGGAGUAUUUUAAUGAACAGAUCGUUAAUUAAAGCACUGAUAAGGACCCUUUGUCUUUUCCAUUGUUCACUUCAUGUCUUUCUUUCUCUGAUAAAAAGACAUUUGAAACAUUCAAGGUUGCACUGCAAGGUCUGCAUAAUCUUAGAAACAUUUUAGAUG
This is a long non-coding RNA of Clupea harengus (Atlantic herring), 5501 nucleotides long. The record is from Ensembl. NCBI's taxonomy places the organism in Eukaryota, Metazoa, Chordata, Actinopteri, Clupeiformes, Clupeidae.